Long non-coding RNA from Trifolium pratense (red clover), 822 nucleotides. RefSeq lists it as uncharacterized. The record is from RefSeq and is a predicted model, not a curated record. Lineage: Eukaryota; Viridiplantae; Streptophyta; Magnoliopsida; Fabales; Fabaceae. The transcript is spliced from 3 exons.
ACAAUUUGGGCAACCUCUCCCCUUCACGCCCACUGUUCCAGAAUUUCUCCUCCCUAAUCAUACAAAGAUCUGAACCAUGAAGAAGAAGCCAAAAUCCCUCCUCUGCACCCAUUAACCAAAGCGCUCAAACCUGUCACUUUCUCAAAACCUCUUCUCCCAAUUUUUUCCCAAAUCGUGAUUACCAACACAGAGGUUCCAGGCUGGAAUACAAGAGUUGUGAGAUUUUGUUGAAUUCAAAGUUGGAUCCUUUAUUGCUGGAGAAAAGCAGACAAACAGAGGUCUGCUUUAAUUACAAGCUACAAAUAGUGGCUCAUGGAUUCCUUUUCAUUCACUGGAUUUGUAGUGUUUCAUUGGAAUAGUCUUGGCCAAAGUUUUACUGUUCUUAUUUUUGAAACCGUUUAUUAGUUUGAGUAAGAUUCUUAAUUUGUUUGUGUUCUAUCGGAUUUUAAACUUUUCUGCUAUAUAUUGAGUUUUUUUUUUCAUUCAUGUUUUCAUUGAAUAAUUGGGUGUAAUGUUACCCAGAAAAUCCUAAGUACUUUGAUGGUAUCUCAAUUUAGAAGCAUUGUUAUACUUUUAUACCAAAAAUAGAGUCAUGCACUUACCAUUGGCAGGACAAGGGAUACCGGAAUAUAUACUUUUGAUCGUUUUAUAUAUGAUUUGUAGCAUAACUAAAAUUGUUAAUAGCUAUGUAAAUUCAAAAAACACGGGGUGCACCGAAAGGGUUAUGUCUAUGCGUAUAUCAACUUUGUAAAUAUUAUAGAACGAUUGUGUUAUGUAUCUUUAUUAUAAUUAAGUUCCAAUUGUUAUAUUUAGAAAAAACAG